AGAGUUUGAUCAUGGCUCAGGAUGAACGCUAGCGGGAGGCUUAACACAUGCAAGUCGAGGGGUAACGGGUUGGAAUUUCGGUUUCGAUGCUGACGACCGGCGAACGGGUGAGUAACGCGUAUGCAACCUGCCUUUUACAGAGGGAUAGCUUUCGGAAACGGAAAUUAAUACCUCAUAACACUACGAUUUGGCAUCAUAUUACAAUUAAAGAUUCAUCGGUAAAGGAUGGGUAUGCGUGACAUUAGGUAGUUGGUAAGGUAACGGCUUACCAAGCCUACGAUGUCUAGGGGGCCUGAGAGGGUGAUCCCCCACACUGGUACUGAGACACGGACCAGACUCCUACGGGAGGCAGCAGUGAGGAAUAUUGGUCAAUGGACGCAAGUCUGAACCAGCCAUCCCGCGUGAAGGACGACGGCCUUAUGGGUUGUAAACUUCUUUUAUGUACCAAGAAAGUUAUCUAUGUAUAGAUAUUUGACGGUAGUAUAUGAAUAAGCAUCGGCUAACUCCGUGCCAGCAGCCGCGGUAAUACGGAGGAUGCGAGCGUUAUCCGGAUUUAUUGGGUUUAAAGGGUGUGUAGGCGGAUUUUUAAGUCAGUGGUGAAAUCUCUAGGCUCAACCUAGAAACUGCCAUUGAUACUGGAAGUCUCGAGUUUAGAUGAAGUAGGCGGAAUAUGUCAUGUAGCGGUGAAAUGCAUAGAUAUGACAUAGAACACCGAUAGCGAAGGCAGCUUACUAAUCUAUAACUGACGCUAAGGGACGAAAGCGUGGGGAGCGAACAGGAUUAGAUACCCUGGUAGUCCACGCAGUAAACGAUGAUAACUCGAUGUUGGCGAUACACAGUCAGCGUCCAAGCGAAAGUGAUAAGUUAUCCACCUGGGGAGUACGAUCGCAAGUUUGAAACUCAAAGGAAUUGACGGGGGCCCGCACAAGCGGAGGAGCAUGUGGUUUAAUUCGAUGAUACGCGAGGAACCUUACCUGGGCUUAAAUGUAGAGUGCAUGAGUGGGAAACCAUUCUUUUCUUCGGAACUCUUUACAAGGUGCUGCAUGGUUGUCGUCAGCUCGUGCCGUGAGGUGUCGGGUUAAGUCCCAUAACGAGCGCAACCCCUAUCAUUAGUUGCCAUCAGGUCAAGCUGGGGACUCUAAUGAGACUGCCACCGUAAGGUGAGAGGAAGGUGGGGAUGACGUCAAGUCAGCACGGCCCUUACGUCCAGGGCUACACACGUGUUACAAUGGUCGGUACAGAGAGCAGCUACUUGGUGACAAGAUGCGAAUCUUCAAAGCCGGUCUUAGUUCGGAUCGAAGUCUGCAACUCGACUUCGUGAAGUUGGAUUCGCUAGUAAUCGCAUAUCAGCCACGAUGCGGUGAAUACGUUCCCGGGCCUUGUACACACCGCCCGUCAAGCCAUGGAAGCUGGGGGUACCUGAAGUCCGUAACCGCAAGGAACGGCCUAGGGUAAAACUGGUGACUGGGGCUAAGUCGAAACAAGGUA
Molecule: ribosomal RNA, 1488 nt
Filed under: uncultured prokaryote
Description: partial 16S ribosomal RNA
Rfam family: Bacterial small subunit ribosomal RNA
Source: RNAcentral